UACGUAGGGGGCUAGCGUUGUCCGGAUUUAUUGGGUGUAAAGAGCGUGUAGGCGGCCAGGUAAGUCCGGUGUGAAAACUCGAGGCUUAACCUCGAGAUGUCAUCGGAAACUAUUUGGCUAGAGUCCGGAAGAGGAGAGUGGAAUUCCUGGUGUAGCGGUGAAAUGCGCAGAUAUCAGGAAGAACACCUAUGGCGAAGGCAGCUCGCUGGGACGUUACUGACGCUGAGACGCGAAAGCGUGGGGAGCAAACAGG
This 253-nucleotide ribosomal RNA is filed under the name uncultured bacterium. Its description in RNAcentral is "partial 16S ribosomal RNA". It matches the Rfam family "Bacterial small subunit ribosomal RNA", at positions 524 to 776 of the family's 1533-position model. The record is from RNAcentral.